CCCUUAGAUGUUCUGGGCUGCACGCGUGCUACAAUGGCGUUUCCAGCAAGUCUGCGAACCCGAGAGGGCCAGCGGAUCUUCGAAUUGGCGUCGUGAUCGGGACAGUCGAUUGCAAUUAUUUGACUCAAACGAGGAAUUCCUUGUAAUCGCGAUUCAUCAUAUCGCGCUGAAUACGUCCCUGCCCUUUGUACACACCGCCCGUCGCUCCUGCCGAUUGAGCGAUCCGGUAAAUGUUUUGGAUUGGUGCCGGGGCGGCUAGCUGCCGGUCGCUACGAAAUUUUGUGAACCUUAUCGCUUAGAGGAAGGAAAAGUCGUAACA
RNAcentral lists this ribosomal RNA (319 nucleotides) under uncultured eukaryote. RNAcentral describes it as "partial 18S ribosomal RNA". It matches the Rfam family "Eukaryotic small subunit ribosomal RNA", at positions 1470 to 1796 of the family's 1831-position model. The record is from RNAcentral.